GAUGAACGCUAGCGGCAGGCUUAACACAUGCAAGUCGAGGGGUAACAUUGUGCUUGCACAGAUGACGACCGGCGCACGGGUGCGUAACGCGUAUAGAAUCUACCUUAUACUAGGGAAUAGCCUUUGGAAACGAAGAUUAAUGCCCUAUAGUAUGAUUACUUGGCAUCAGGUAAUCAUUAAAGGUUACGGUAUAAGAUGACUAUGCGUUCUAUUAGCUAGUUGGUGAGGUAAUGGCUCACCAAGGCGACGAUCCCUAGCUGGUCUGAGAGGAUGAUCAGCCACACUGGAACUGAGACACGGUCCAG
RNAcentral lists this ribosomal RNA (305 nucleotides) under uncultured Lacinutrix sp. RNAcentral's name for it is "bacterial SSU rRNA". It matches the Rfam family "Bacterial small subunit ribosomal RNA", at positions 28 to 334 of the family's 1533-position model. The record is from RNAcentral. Lineage: Bacteria; Pseudomonadati; Bacteroidota; Flavobacteriia; Flavobacteriales; Flavobacteriaceae.